Molecule: ribosomal RNA, 710 nt
Filed under: uncultured bacterium
Lineage: Bacteria
Description: bacterial SSU rRNA
Rfam family: Archaeal small subunit ribosomal RNA
Source: RNAcentral
CGGAUUAGAUACCCGGGUAGUCCCAGCUGUAAACGAUGCAGGCUAGGUGUUUGGACGGCCACGUGCCGUUCUAGUGCCGCAGGGAAGCUGUUAAGCCUGCCGCCUGGGGAGUACGAUCGCAAGAUUGAAACUUAAAGGAAUUGGCGGGGGAGCACCACAAGGGGUGAAGCUUGCGGUUUAAUUGGAGUCAACGCCGGAAAUCUCACCGGGAGCGACAGCAGUGUGAAGGCCAGAUUAAAGGUCUUGCCAGACGAGCUGAGAGGAGGUGCAUGGCCGUCGCCAGUUCGUGCCGUGAGGUGUCCUGUUAAGUCAGGCAACGAUCGAGACCCGCGUCCUCUGUUGCAACCAGCUUUGAGCUGGGCACACUGAGGAGACCGCCACUGAUAAAGUGGAGGAAGGAGCGGGCCACGGCAGGUCAGUAUGCCCCGAAUCUCCCGGGCCACACGCGAGCUGCAAUGGCAAGUACAAUGGGUUCCGACCUCGAAAGGGGGAGGCAAUCUCGAAAGCUUGCCGUAGUUGGGAUCGAGGGUUGAAACCCACCCUCGUGAACAUGGAAUCCCUAGUAAUCGCGUGUCACUAGCGCGCGGUGAAUACGUCCCUGCUCCUUGCACACACCGCCCGUCGUUCCAUCCGAGUGACUCUUGGGUGAGGUGCCGUCUAACUGGCGAUAUCGAAUCUAAGUUUCAUAAGGAGGGAAAAGUCGUAACAAG